This 317-nucleotide ribosomal RNA is filed under the name Escherichia coli. RNAcentral describes it as "partial 23S ribosomal RNA". It matches the Rfam family "Bacterial large subunit ribosomal RNA", at positions 2324 to 2640 of the family's 2925-position model. Lineage: Bacteria; Pseudomonadati; Pseudomonadota; Gammaproteobacteria; Enterobacterales; Enterobacteriaceae. The record is from RNAcentral.
AUCCUGGUCGGACAUCAGGAGGUUAGUGCAAUGGCAUAAGCCAGCUUGACUGCGAGCGUGACGGCGCGAGCAGGUGCGAAAGCAGGUCAUAGUGAUCCGGUGGUUCUGAAUGGAAGGGCCAUCGCUCAACGGAUAAAAGGUACUCCGGGGAUAACAGGCUGAUACCGCCCAAGAGUUCAUAUCGACGGCGGUGUUUGGCACCUCGAUGUCGGCUCAUCACAUCCUGGGGCUGAAGUAGGUCCCAAGGGUAUGGCUGUUCGCCAUUUAAAGUGGUACGCGAGCUGGGUUUAGAACGUCGUGAGACAGUUCGGUCCCUA